UGGGUUUGUGGUUUACAAAUAAACAACAAAGUUAUCUUUAUUCUUAACCUCAAUAAAUAUAAAUAUAGAAAACGUCACUAAUAAUACUAGAUCGUUUAUUGGUUCUACAGUUUUUAUAUAAAAAGUCUAGGCUAAAUUUUAUAAAAAUAAUAUGCAUAAUUUUGAUGGCAUAAAUGCAAGCCCGUCGGCUAAGGUAUCAUAAUCGGAAGCCUAAGGUUAUGCACGCCACCUCUCAUUUUCUAUCCUUAUGUGUAUAAAAAUUCCAAAAGUCAAUAAUUGGUUAGAUAUUAGGCAGAUGAUGAAUGUUUUAUCUUAUGUUUCUAGGUUAGAUUGUCAAAUUUUAUAAUUGGUUAAUAGCCAUUAAUGAACGGGUACAAAGUAUAAAAUGAGAUAUCUAAUAAUAAAUACGGAUAUAGAAGAGAGUUCAUUCAAGAUUUAAUAGGUUGUACUUCAAUUGUAAAUUUUUUUUGUGUUAACGUGGGACUAGAUCAUUUGGUAGAGGCACUCGUCUUUUAGUGAGAGGUUUUAGGUUUAAUUCCAAGUAAGAUGUAAAUUAGGAAUAACUUGGUGUAAUUUAAAAGUAAAAUUUUUCAUUAAAAAAAUUAAAUCUCUUUGACGUUGAUUUUGAGAGUUUUUUCCCAAAAGAGUGUUGGUGGAAAAUUUAUUUACUAAAAUGGGUGAUUUGAAAAGUAUUUACCAAAAUAGAUGUUUUGCAAUGACUUUUUUUUCUCAAAUUGGUGAGGGUGAAAAAAAUAUUUACCAAAAUGGGUGAUUUAAAACAUAUUUAUUAAAAUGAGUGUUUUUUCUUAUUUCUUUAUUAUUAACUAAUCUAUUAUAUUUUUUACUUUUUUUUCGGUUAACCUAAUAUGUUUUUAAUUUAUUUUUCUUCAAACAAUUACUCUUUAUAUUUUAUUUACUUUUUAACUAACCAAAUACAAUUCUUUUUUUUCUUAACACCUUUUCUUUUAUUUCUUUUUACAUUUAUAUAGCUGAAUCAUUCUAAU
RNAcentral lists this long non-coding RNA (1004 nucleotides) under Helianthus annuus (common sunflower). RNAcentral describes it as "hypothetical non coding rna". The record is from RNAcentral. Lineage: Eukaryota; Viridiplantae; Streptophyta; Magnoliopsida; Asterales; Asteraceae.